Molecule: ribosomal RNA, 443 nt
Filed under: uncultured bacterium
Lineage: Bacteria
Description: partial 16S ribosomal RNA
Rfam family: Bacterial small subunit ribosomal RNA
Source: RNAcentral
CCUACGGGAGGCAGCAGUGGGGAAUAUUGCGCAAUGGGCGAAAGCCUGAUGCAGCAACGCCGCGUGAAGGAAGACGGGUUUCGGCUUGUAAACUUCUUUUUACAGGGACGAAAUAAAUUACGGUACUUGGAUUAGAAGCCCCGGCUAACUACGUGCCAGCAGCCGCGGUAAUACGUAGGGUGCAAGCGUUAUCCGGAAUUACUGGGUGUAAAGGGUGUGUAGGCGGCAUGGUAAGCCAGAUGUGAAAGCCGUGGGCUGAACCCGAGAAUUGCAUUUGGCACUAUCGAUCUUGAGUGCAGGGGGGGAAGGCGGAAUUCCUAGUGUAGCGGUGAAAUGCGUAGAUAUUAGGAAGAACACCAGUGGCGAAGGCGGCUUUCUGGACUGAAACUGACGCUGAGGCACGAAAGCGUGGGGAGCAAACAGGAUUAGAUACCCUUGUAGUC